This 1112-nucleotide long non-coding RNA is filed under the name Anser brachyrhynchus (Pink-footed goose). RNAcentral describes it as "lncRNA (ENSABRG00000014860.1)". The record is from RNAcentral. Lineage: Eukaryota; Metazoa; Chordata; Aves; Anseriformes; Anatidae.
AUGGCGCCCGCGGCGGGCGUCGCGUCGGCGCAAGAGGCCGCCUCCCAUUGGCCGGCGGGAAGCGGCCGCCCAAUCACGAAGCGCGUGACUCAGCGAUCGCGGCCCCGCCAGCGGGGCGCGCGGCCGACACAGCGACCCCAGCAGGCGAGGCGGGGUGCGGUGGGGGGGGAGAGAGAGAGGCCUCCCGCGAGCCUCCCUCAGGGUUACGGGUUCGAAUCCCGCAGCAGCUUGCCGCUGGGCACCGCACGAGCAGGCACCACCGGGACUCGUCCGGGUCAGGCUCGGGCCGUCUCCUCGCACGCUGAGGUGUCCAGGCCUCGAGGUGGUGUCUGUGUCCCGGUCACAAAUAGCCGUGAAGGCGUGCCUGGGGCCGGGGACCAACCCUCAGGGCGCCGGAGGGCGAGCUGGGCGCAGACGGCUCCUUCAGUCUUCCAUGAAAGAAGUCAUUCCUGCAGUCUUACAGCUAUUUUAUCACCAGCCUUUCUCCUUCAUCUAACCUGUAUGUACAUGAUUAAUGAUCUCUCUUUGAUCAAGCUUCUACAUGCAUUGCCACUGCAAGUCCUGCUCUGUAUAGUUAUGUUCAGGCAUCUGGAUUCCACAUGAUAAUUUCUUUAGGUUUUUAUCUACUGUCUUCCUUUGCGCAAAUGACAAACUGAAAGAAAACAGUAGAAAAAGACUUUGUAUGAUGUCUUAAAAUAUCAUCUACUGAGAUCUCAAGUUUUUGCAACUCCUGCAAAGUUCAUGGAAACUGCAGCUGCUCAGCAUCACUCGGGGUUAGAUAUUUCAUUUCUUGUUCUUUACAUUAAUGCUUGUGUUCAAUCUAAAUCAGGUGUCAUAUUCCUAUUUGCAAGUGUAUUUUUCUUUCCUGGAUAAGGAAUUCAGAUAAGAGUAUUAAAUUCAUUAAAAUAGUUACCUGUCACCAUGACACACUGCUGGCAGGUAAAAUAGGCUGGUCUUCCUAGCUAAAAGUAGCUUUUUAUAAAAAUCUCUGCAUUAUCAUGUUAAAUUAUGGAUGUGAUGGGAAACAGUAGGACAUACUCUGAUCUUAGUUAUAUUUUUUAUAUUGGUAACAGUUUAAUAAAGAAGAAAAUUUGGUGCUGAGAUGAUAAUCC